RNAcentral lists this transfer RNA (77 nucleotides) under Nippostrongylus brasiliensis. It matches the Rfam family "tRNA". Rfam says of the family: Transfer RNA (tRNA) molecules are approximately 80 nucleotides in length. Their secondary structure includes four short double-helical elements and three loops (D, anti-codon, and T loops). Lineage: Eukaryota; Metazoa; Nematoda; Chromadorea; Rhabditida; Heligmosomidae. The record is from Rfam by way of RNAcentral.
GUCUCAGCGGCGUAGUGGUUAACGCACGGCACCGGUUAGGUGCGGGCGAGACGCGGGUUCAAAUCCCGCCUGAGAUG